Phyllopteryx taeniolatus (common seadragon) is the source of this 1497-nucleotide RNA transcript. It is a transcript of the gene named NSE4 homolog A, SMC5-SMC6 complex component, with no coding region annotated. NCBI's taxonomy places the organism in Eukaryota, Metazoa, Chordata, Actinopteri, Syngnathiformes, Syngnathidae. The transcript has 12 exons. The record is from RefSeq and is a predicted model, not a curated record.
GAGCCAAUCAUAUUGCAGCAGAGCGUGUCCUGCCAACAAGGCUAGUGGGAUUCCUACGAGUCAGCCGCGACGUCAGUUUACGGCGGGCAUUGUAGCUGUAGGCUCGAAUAAGAAGGCUGUAGGCGAUCCAGGCAGAAGCGCCCUGGGGCUCAUCUUGGACACAAGGAGCAAAGCUCGAACAACCCCAGCCGGUGCUACAGCGUAAAAGACUGAUCGAUGGAGCGUCUCAGACGCCGGUCCACCGAUGAGCAAGCGCCCCAGCAAGACUGCACCACUCGCCACAACAACGGAGACCAACAGCGGACCAAUGAGGGGUCCGACUUGGUGGAUUCGCAAUACGGCGACGAAAGGGGCAUAAGGAGGGAAAUAAGGUGCAAGUACAGAGACCUCAUUGAUGCAGUUCACCGAAAUAGAGAAGAUUUGCUGAGUCCUUCCAAUAACAAACUCACAGAAGUUUUGGAAGAGGCAGACAAACUGUUUGUAAAUGUGCGACAGACGAGCGAAGCGGUGCUGGAUUCUAAGUUCGUUGCUGUGGCCACAGACCUGAACAACGAGAGAGCCAGCCUGAUGCGAGAUGAGGACAGUUCUUUUGACUUCACUGUAUUUGCUGAGCACCUUCUCUCCUUCAUGGGUCUCAACCGGCUGGAAACUGGGAAGAAGGAGCAGAGAGAUCAAGUCAGUGGGUACCUGCCCAGCGAUGCCUGGCAAAGACUGGCCAGGGGAGCUGAGAACUGUUUUAGGACAGCGCCGACCUUCCACUACAUGUUGGGUUCCUUCCAUGCUGAGCCGCCCCCUCCAAAGCAAAAGAUGGCACGACAAAGGAAACCCCCCAGCAAGGAAGCAAAAAGGAUCAUGCCCACUCAGCUGAAAAAGCUGGAAGAGGCCGAACAAGAAGCCACCGAGAAAGAGGUGGAGAGGAUCCUCGGCUGGCUGAAGGGUUAUCAUCAAAAGGACCCGUUGUCGCCGAUCCCGUAUUACGAGUUUGUUAUUGACCCCGACUCCUUUUCACGGACAAUAGAGAACAUUUUCCACACGUCUUUCCUUGUCAGGGAUGGUUUGGCACAAAUUGGUUUGGAUCGAGACAAGUUGCCUUAUAUAGCUCCUGUGGAGGAGGAGGCGAUGGAGAUAGAUGCUGGAGGAUCGGACAACCGUAAUGCGUGUAUCGUUUCAAUGAGCCCAAAGAUGUGGAAGUGUACUUGAGAUGACCAACACGACACACCACACGCUCCAAUGUCUGUCGAAGUACGAAUACUGACCUGUGAGAGGCAUACAGACUGACAGAAAAUACAAGAAGCUUGGCUAACUGUUAGCUUGUUUGGAGUUCAUUGAUGCCUUAGACAUCAGGGGCGCCAUGAUUCCGCCUCGAAACACGGACAAUUAGUGAUGGAACAAACAUUGUAUCACAAGGGACUCAACGUGGUUUUUUUGUUGGAAUUAAGAUGUGUUUUUGAUGUUGUUUUAUUUUUUUCCAGUACAAUAAUAAAAGUAGGAAAAUGA